AGGAGUUAUUUCAGUCUUCUCGCCAUCUUUACUGUUAGGACCAACUUCUCUGUCAUUUCCAUCUGGAUCUGGAGAAUGAAGCUUUUUCAGGGCUUGAGAGCCUUGAUUAUAUGUUUUCAGUUCCAAAGAUGCAUCAGCUUCAAUACCAGCAAGACGCUUGGAAGUUCGGCAAGGAAGAAGUGAAGUUUUCAGAGGGAAGAUGCUAAGUGAGGGAGGGAAUUUGUAUUAAAAUUUGACAAAGAACGCACUGUAUUAUGAGUCUGAGCUGCGCCGCUAUUUUAACAAAGGAAACAGAGACCAGAAGUUGGUAGAGAUCUGAAAACAUCAACAAAUAUUUAGCAUGACAAAAGAAGAUAGAAAAAGGAAGUAAUGAAUUCCUAGAGUUUCCACUACAUACAAAAUGCCA
Molecule: long non-coding RNA, 406 nt
Organism: Ipomoea nil (Japanese morning glory)
Lineage: Eukaryota; Viridiplantae; Streptophyta; Magnoliopsida; Solanales; Convolvulaceae
Exons: 3
Source: RefSeq, a predicted model, not a curated record